AGUGAACGCUGGCGGUAGACCUAACACAUGCAAGUCGAACGGCAGCACAGUAAGAGCUUGCUCUUACGGGUGGCGAGUGGCGGACGGGUGAGGAAUACAUCGGAAUCUACUUUUUCGUGGGGGAUAACGUAGGGAAACUUACGCUAAUACCGCAUACGACCUACGGGUGAAAGCAGGGGAUCUUCGGACCUUGCGCGAUUGAAUGAGCCGAUGUCGGAUUAGCUAGUUGGCGGGGUAAAGGCCCACCAAGGCGCCGAUCCGUAGCUGGUCUGAGAGGAUGAUCAGCCACACUGGAACUGAGACACGGUCCAGACUCCUACGGGAGGCAGCAGUGGGGAAUAUUGGACAAUGGGCGCAAGCCUGAUCCAGCCAUACCGCGUGGGUGAAGAAGGCCUUCGGGUUGUAAAGCCCUUUUGUUGGGAAAGAAAAGCAGCAGGUUAAUACCCCGCUGUUCUGACGGUACCCAAAGAAUAAGCACCGGCUAACUUCGUG
Molecule: ribosomal RNA, 492 nt
Filed under: uncultured bacterium
Lineage: Bacteria
Description: partial 16S ribosomal RNA
Rfam family: Bacterial small subunit ribosomal RNA
Source: RNAcentral